AUGAACAUUGCCCUCCUCACCCGUUGGCUCUGGCGCAUUGCCAAUGGCAAUGGAGGUCUUUGGCUCACCAUCAUCCACAACAAGUACCUUCGAGGACAGCCUCUUGCAUUCUGUCAGCGCUCGGGCGGCUCCCAGUUUUGGCAGGCCGUCGUCCAGCUGCUACCUAUGCUUUGCAUUGGCACGUCCAUCUCGGUUGGUACUGGGUCCUCAACCCUGUUCUGGUUUGAUCGGUGGAUUGGCGACACCCCCCUGGCCGCACGAUUUCCGGAGCUCUUCGCCAUUGCAGUUGACCCUCGUGUCUCUGUCGAGACGACCCCUAUUGACUUAGGGCGCCUCGCUUUCCGCCGCCCCUUUGGCCCUCCUAAAGUUGCCUCUUGGGAUGCCCUCCUUCAGGACAUCCCCUCCUCCCUAUGGACGGCGCUGUCACCCCGGACGCCAUCUCUUGGCAUCUGGAACCUUUCGGCUACUUCUCCACCAAAUCCCUCUACGCGGCCAUCGCCCCUCGAUGGCCCCCGAGCCCUUUAG
This 525-nucleotide ribosomal RNA is filed under the name Triticum aestivum (bread wheat). Its description in RNAcentral is "partial small subunit ribosomal RNA". Lineage: Eukaryota; Viridiplantae; Streptophyta; Magnoliopsida; Poales; Poaceae. The record is from RNAcentral.